AUGAACGCUGGCGGCGUGCCUAAUACAUGCAAGUCGAACGCUUUGUGGUUCAACUGAUUUGAAGAGCUUGCUCAGAUAUGACGAUGGACAUUGCAAAGAGUGGCGAACGGGUGAGUAACACGUGGGAAACCUACCUCUUAGCAGGGGAUAACAUUUGGAAACAGAUGCUAAUACCGUAUAACAAUGACAACCGCAUGGUUGUUAUUUAAAAGAUGGUUCUGCUAUCACUAAGAGAUGGUCCCGCGGUGCAUUAGCUAGUUGGUAAGGUAAUGGCUUACCAAGGCGAUGAUGCAUAGCCGAGUUGAGAGACUGAUCGGCCACAAUGGGACUGAGACACGGCCCAUACUCCUACGGGAGGCAGCAGUAGGGAAUCUUCCACAAUGGGCGAAAGCCUGAUGGAGCAACGCCGCGUGUGUGAUGAAGGGUUUCGGCUCGUAAAACACUGUUGUAAGAGAAGAAUGACAUUGAGAGUAACUGUUCAAUGUGUGACGGUAUCUUACCAGAAAGGAACGGCUAAAUACGUGCCAGCAGCCGCGGUAAUACGUAUGUUCCAAGCGUUAUCCGGAUUUAUUGGGCGUAAAGCGAGCGCAGACGGUUAUUUAAGUCUGAAGUGAAAGCCCUCAGCUCAACUGAGGAAUUGCUUUGGAAACUGGAUGACUUGAGUGCAGUAGAGGAAAGUGGAACUCCAUGUGUAGCGGUGAAAUGCGUAGAUAUAUGGAAGAACACCAGUGGCGAAGGCGGCUUUCUGGACUGUAACUGACGUUGAGGCUCGAAAGUGUGGGUAGCAAACAGGAUUAGAUACCCUGGUAGUCCACACCGUAAACGAUGAGUGCUAGGUGUUUGAGGGUUUCCGCCCUUAAGUGCCGCAGCUAACGCAUUAAGCACUCCGCCUGGGGAGUACGACCGCAAGGUUGAAACUCAAAGGAAUUGACGGGGACCCGCACAAGCGGUGGAGCAUGUGGUUUAAUUCGAAGCAACGCGAAGAACCUUACCAGGUCUUGACAUCCCUUGACAACUCCAGAGAUGGAGCGUUCCCUUCGGGGACAAGGUGACAGGUGGUGCAUGGUUGUCGUCAGCUCGUGUCGUGAGAUGUUGGGUUAAGUCCCGCAACGAGCGCAACCCUUAUUACUAGUUGCCAGCAUUCAGUUGGGCACUCUAGUGAGACUGCCGGUGACAAACCGGAGGAAGGUGGGGAUGACGUCAAAUCAUCAUGCCCCUUAUGACCUGGGCUACACACGUGCUACAAUGGCGUAUACAACGAGUUGCCAACCCGCGAGGGUGAGCUAAUCUCUUAAAGUACGUCUCAGUUCGGAUUGUAGGCUGCAACUCGCCUACAUGAAGUCGGAAUCGCUAGUAAUCGCGGAUCAGCACGCCGCGGUGAAUACGUUCCCGGGUCUUGUACACACCGCCCGUCAAG
This 1417-nucleotide ribosomal RNA is filed under the name uncultured Bacilli bacterium. RNAcentral describes it as "bacterial SSU rRNA". It matches the Rfam family "Bacterial small subunit ribosomal RNA", at positions 29 to 1401 of the family's 1533-position model. Lineage: Bacteria; Bacillati; Bacillota; Bacilli. The record is from RNAcentral.